CUCUGUUUUACAAUUUUAUCGAGGUUGCUUUGUUGGUAACAACUUAAGUAUGAAUGGUGUUGGGAGUAACGUUGGGCUCCCUUAAAUUCACAACCAAUUUGUGAAUUGUUGAGGGUUCAGUUCGCCAAUAUAUCGGAUUGUUUCGAGGACGUUAGUUGAUUAAGGAGCUUCCCCAACUUUGAGGUA
Molecule: long non-coding RNA, 186 nt
Organism: Cucumis sativus (cucumber)
Lineage: Eukaryota; Viridiplantae; Streptophyta; Magnoliopsida; Cucurbitales; Cucurbitaceae
Exons: 3
Source: RefSeq, a predicted model, not a curated record